RNAcentral lists this ribosomal RNA (2899 nucleotides) under Escherichia coli. Its description in RNAcentral is "23S ribosomal RNA". It matches the Rfam family "Bacterial large subunit ribosomal RNA". The record is from RNAcentral. Lineage: Bacteria; Pseudomonadati; Pseudomonadota; Gammaproteobacteria; Enterobacterales; Enterobacteriaceae.
GGUUAAGCGACUAAGCGUACACGGUGGAUGCCCCGGCAGUCAGAGGCGAUGAAGGACGUGCUAAUCUGCGAUAAGCGUCGGUGAGGUGAUAUGAACCGUUAUAACCGGCGAUUUCCGAAUGGGGAAACCCAGUGUGUUUCGACACACUAUCAUUAACUGAAUCCAUAGGUUAAUGAGGCGAACCGGGGAACUGAAACAUCUAAGUACCCCGAGGAAAAGAAAUCAACCGAGAUUCCCCAGUAGCGGCGAGCGAACGGGGAGGAGCCCAGAGCCUGAAUCAGUGUGUGUGUUAGUGGAAGCGUCUGGAAAGGCGCGCGAUACAGGGUGACAGCCCCGUACACAAAAAUGCACAUGCUGUGAGCUCGAUGAGUAGGGCGGGACACGUGGUAUCCUGUCUGAAUAUGGGGGACCAUCCUCCAAGGCUAAAUACUCCUGACUGACCGAUAGUGAACCAGUACCGUGAGGGAAAGGCGAAAAGAACCCCGGCGAGGGGAGUGAAAAAGAACCUGAAACCGUGUACGUACAAGCAGUGGGAGCCUCUUAAUGGGGUGACUGCGUACCUUUUGUAUAAUGGGUCAGCGACUUAUAUUCUGUAGCAAGGUUAACCGAAUAGGGGAGCCGAAGGGAAACCGAGUCUUAACUGGGCGUUAAGUUGCAGGGUAUAGACCCGAAACCCGGUGAUCUAGCCAUGGGCAGGUUGAAGGUUGGGUAACACUAACUGGAGGACCGAACCGACUAAUGUUGAAAAAUUAGCGGAUGACUUGUGGCUGGGGGUGAAAGGCCAAUCAAACCGGGAGAUAGCUGGUUCUCCCCGAAAGCUAUUUAGGUAGCGCCUCGUGAAUUCAUCUCCGGGGUAGAGCACUGUUUCGGCAAGGGGGUCAUCCCGACUUACCAACCCGAUGCAAACUGCGAAUACCGGAGAAUGUUAUCACGGGAGACACACGGCGGGUGCUAACGUCCGUCGUGAAGAGGGAAACAACCCAGACCGCCAGCUAAGGUCCCAAAGUCAUGGUUAAGUGGGAAACGAUGUGGGAAGGCCCAGACAGCCGGGAUGUUGGCUUAGAAGCAGCCAUCAUUUAAAGAAAGCGUAAUAGCUCACUGGUCGAGUCGGCCUGCGCGGAAGAUGUAACGGGGCUAAACCAUGCACCGAAGCUGCGGCAGCGACACUAUGUGUUGUUGGGUAGGGGAGCGUUCUGUAAGCCUGUGAAGGUGUGCUGUGAGGCAUGCUGGAGGUAUCAGAAGUGCGAAUGCUGACAUAAGUAACGAUAAAGCGGGUGAAAAGCCCGCUCGCCGGAAGACCAAGGGUUCCUGUCCAACGUUAAUCGGGGCAGGGUGAGUCGACCCCUAAGGCGAGGCCGAAAGGCGUAGUCGAUGGGAAACAGGUUAAUAUUCCUGUACUUGGUGUUACUGCGAAGGGGGACGGAGAAGGCUAUGUUGGCCGGGCGACGGUUGUCCCGGUUUAAGCGUGUAGGCUGGUUUUCCGGGCAAAUCCGGAAAACCAAGGCUGAGGCGUGAUGACGAGGCACUACGGUGCUGAAGCGACAAAUGCCCUGCUUCCGGGAAAAGCCUCUAAGCAUCAGGUAACAUCAAAUCGUACCCCAAACCGACACAGGUGGUCAGGUAGAGAAUACCAAGGCGCUUGAGAGAACUCGGGUGAAGGAACUAGGCAAAAUGGUGCCGUAACUUCGGGAGAAGGCACGCUGAUAUGUAGGUGAAGCGACUUGCUCGUGGAGCUGAAAUCAGUCGAAGAUACCAGCUGGCUGCAACUGUUUAUUAAAAACACAGCACUGUGCAAACACGAAAGUGGACGUAUACGGUGUGACGCCUGCCCGGUGCCGGAAGGUUAAUUGAUGGGGUUAGCGGUAACGCGAAGCUCUUGAUCGAAGCCCCGGUAAACGGCGGCCGUAACUAUAACGGUCCUAAGGUAGCGAAAUUCCUUGUCGGGUAAGUUCCGACCUGCACGAAUGGCGUAAUGAUGGCCGGGCUGUCUCCACCCGAGACUCAGUGAAAUUGAACUCGCUGUGAAGAUGCAGUGUACCCGCGGCAAGACGGAAAGACCCCGUGAACCUUUACUAUAGCUUGACACUGAACAUUGAGCCUUGAUGUGUAGGAUAGGUGGGAGGCUUUGAAGUGUGGACGCCAGUCUGCAUGGAGCCGACCUUGAAAUACCACCCUUUAAUGUUUGAUGUUCUAACGUUGGCCCGUAAUCCGGGUUGCGGACAGUGUCUGGUGGGUAGUUUGACUGGGGCGGUCUCCUCCUAAAGAGUAACGGAGGAGCACGAAGGUUGGCUAAUCUCGGUCGGACAUCAGGAGGUUAGUGCAAUGGCAUAAGCCAGCUUGACUGCGAGCGUGACGGCGCGAGCAGGUGCGAAAGCAGGUCAUAGUGAUCCGGUGGUUCUGAAUGGAAGGGCCAUCGCUCAACGGAUAAAAGGUACUCCGGGGAUAACAGGCUGAUACCGCCCAAGAGUUCAUAUCGACGGCGGUGUUUGGCACCUCGAUGUCGGCUCAUCACAUCCUCGGGGCUGAAGUAGGUCCCAAGGGUAUGGCUGUUCGCCAUUUAAAGUGGUACGCGAGCUGGGUUUAGAACGUCGUGAGACAGUUCGGUCCCUAUCUGCCGUGGGCGCUGGAGAACUGAGGGGGCUGCUCCUAGUACGAGAGGACCGGAGUGGACGCAUCACUGGUGUUCGGGUUGUCAUGCCAAUGGCACUGCCCGGUAGCUAAAUGCGGAAGAGAUAAGUGCUGAAAGCAUCUAAGCACGAAACUUGCCCCGAGAUGAGUUCUCCCUGAGACUUAGAGUCUCCUGAAGGAACGUUGAAGACGACGACGUUGAUAGGCCGGGUGUGUAAGCGCAGCGAUGCGUUGAGCUAACCGGUACUAAUGAACCGUGAGGCUUAACCUU